This 381-nucleotide ribosomal RNA is filed under the name uncultured eukaryote. Its description in RNAcentral is "partial 18S ribosomal RNA". It matches the Rfam family "Eukaryotic small subunit ribosomal RNA", at positions 592 to 976 of the family's 1831-position model. The record is from RNAcentral.
CAAUAGCGUAUAUUAAAGUUGUUGCGGUAAAAAAGCUCGUAGUUGGAUUUCUACCGAAGAUAGCCGGUCGGGUCUUCGACCUUGUAUCUGGUUUUGUCUUUGGUAUCCUCAUAGGGAACGUUUCUGCGCUUUAUUGCGUGGUGCGGUAUAUAUGACUUUUACUUUGAGGAAAUUAGAGUGUUCACGGCAGGCAAACGCCUUGAAUAUAUUAGCAUGGAAUAAUAACAUAGGAUCUUCGUCCUAUUUUGUUGGUUUCUAGGGCUAAGAUAAUGAUUAAUAGGGAUAAUUGGGGGCAUCUGUAUCAACGCGUCAGAGGUGGAAUUCUUGGAUUGCGUUGCGACAAACUACUGCGAAAGCAUUUGCCAAGGAUGUUUUCAUUGA